Molecule: ribosomal RNA, 815 nt
Filed under: uncultured bacterium
Lineage: Bacteria
Description: bacterial SSU rRNA
Rfam family: Bacterial small subunit ribosomal RNA
Source: RNAcentral
GGCUCGCGGGAUUCGAUUGAGUUUGAUCCUGGCUCAGGAUGAACGCUGGCGGCAUGCCUAAUACAUGCAAGUCGAACGAGAGACCUUCGGGUCUCUAGUGGCGAACGGGUGAGUAACACGUAGGGAACCUGCCCGCGCACCGGGAAUACGCUCUGGAAACGGAGAACAAAUCCCGAUGUACAGGAAGGAGGCAUCUUCUUUCUGUGAAACAUCCUUUCGGGGAUGGGGCGCGGAUGGACCUGCGGUGCAUUAGUUUGUUGGCGGGGUAAAGGCCCACCAAGACGAUGAUGCAUAGCCGGCCUGAGAGGGCGGACGGCCACAUUGGGACUGAGACACGGCCCAGACUCCUGCGGGAGGCAGCAGUAGGGAAUUUUCGUCAAUGGGCGCAAGCCUGAACGAGCGAUGCCGCGUGAGUGAAGAAGGCCUUCGGGUCGUANAGCUCUGUUGCGGGGGAAAAAAGGCAGCAUCAGGAAAUGGGUGCUGACUGAUGGUGCCCCGCCAGAAAGUCACGGCUAACUACGUGCCAGCAGCCGCGGUAAUACGUAGGUGGCGAGCGUUAUCCGGAAUGAUUGGGCGUAAAGGGUGCGCAGGCGGUCCUGCAAGUCUGGAGUGAAACGCAUGAGCUCAACUCAUGCAUGGCUUUGGAAACUGGAGGACUGGANAGCANGAGAGGGCGGUGGAACUCCAUGUGUGGCGGUAAAAUGCGUAGAUAUAUGGAAGAACACCAGUGGGCGAGGCGGCCCGCCUGGCCUGUUGCUGACGCUGAAGCACGAAAGCGUGGGGAGCAAAUAAGAUUAGAUACCCUAGUAAUCCAC